Molecule: ribosomal RNA, 443 nt
Filed under: uncultured bacterium
Lineage: Bacteria
Description: partial 16S ribosomal RNA
Rfam family: Bacterial small subunit ribosomal RNA
Source: RNAcentral
CCUACGGGAGGCAGCAGUGGGGAAUAUUGGGCAAUGGAGGCAACUCUGACCCAGCAACGCCGCGUGAAUGAUGAAGGUCUUCGGAUUGUAAAGUUCUGUGAUGGGGGAUGAACACAAUGACGGUACCCCAAUAGCAAGCCACGGCUAACUACGUGCCAGCAGCCGCGGUAAUACGUAGGAGGCAAGCGUUAUCCGGAAUGACUGGGCGUAAAGGGUGCGUAGGUGGUUUGAUAAGUUGGUAGCGUAACUCCGAGGCUCAACCUCGGCACUACUACCAAAACUGUCGGACUUGAGUGCAGGAGGGGCAACUGGAAUUCCUAGUGUAGCGGUGGAAUGCGUAGAUAUUAGGAGGAACACCAGUGGCGAAGGCGAGUUGCUGGACUGUAACUGACACUGAGGCACGAAAGCGUGGGGAGCAAACAGGAUUAGAUACCCCAGUAGUC